CUUCAGUUCUUUUCUAAAUCCAGGAAUGGGGUUGGGACCUGAACAACCUGUCUAAUACUUUUCAGGCCCUGUUUCUGUGACCUGACAAGGUUUCAUGAACUUGUUCAACUAAAUGGUGGUCUAGUCCAAAUCGAGCAGUGAAUAUGAAUGUUGAAGAAUUUGAGAGUCUAGACUUCACUGGGUAGUCAAAGUUGGUAAAAGAAAUGUACUGUAUGGCAUACCAAAACUUCUCUAAGAGCAUUUGCACUUCUUGUAAUCGAAAAUUUAGCAAGACGUGCAAUCCUCACUGGAUUCCUCAAAUGUCACAGACGUUUCUAAAGGACAAAGACACUGAAGGAAAAGUACUCAGUAUCUUCUGAGAGAAAACAAACAAGGAAAGCUGCAAUGUCUGGAUGAUCUUCAAAAAGAGAAGUUUUGAACAAGAAAACAUGUUGAUGUAAUAUUUUAUCCAUUUUCAAUGUAAUCUAUC
Molecule: long non-coding RNA, 469 nt
Organism: Hyaena hyaena (striped hyena)
Lineage: Eukaryota; Metazoa; Chordata; Mammalia; Carnivora; Hyaenidae
Exons: 3
Source: RefSeq, a predicted model, not a curated record